Molecule: long non-coding RNA, 684 nt
Organism: Pipra filicauda (Wire-tailed manakin)
Lineage: Eukaryota; Metazoa; Chordata; Aves; Passeriformes; Pipridae
Exons: 3
Source: RefSeq, a predicted model, not a curated record
CAGCGUGGGUCUCAUCCAGGGCUGCAGAGUCUUGCAGUUAAAGUGGCAUGCAGGAUAUGACAUCUGUGUUGAGACACAUUUAUUCAUAUUUGAUGGUGACAUGAAUCCUUUCAGAGGACAGAGUAGCUGGAGACUGCUGGACAAGCCUAGGUUUUCAGGACUGUUAACAUAGGAGGUCUGUAUGCAUUGAUUCUGCAGGGGAGAGGUGGACCCAAGGCUUCCCACUUGCCUGCUCAGAGAUCACUGUGGUCUGGCUGGUUGUCACAUAAAGGUGGGAAUUCAGAUUUUUGCUCCUCAGUCCCCCAGGAAAGUUGAGACACUGGUGCCCAACAGUCUGUCAGCGUCUCGUAAGACCCUUCACCAACAGAUUCACAAGAUUGGAGAGUACCUCAACCUCCCUUGUUAGGGGGAACUCAAAAAAGCCAGGACCCCUCAGCGAGUUUUGCCAAGGUGUCAUCUGCUGCCGGCAACUGCAAGGACUCAUUUUAACAGUUUAUGGAAUAACACUUUUUUAUUAAUACAAAUUGUGACAAAUUAAUAGGGUUUGAAGGUUGUCAGUGAUAGUGUCUACUGCAAAAAUACGUUUAAAGCAAUUUACUGAUACAUAUAUUAAGCAAGCACAAGUUCUGAUACGAACUAAUAGUAUGCUAUGGGAUAAGCACAAGCAAAAGCUCUAGUCCUAAA